UUGUUUCUAAAAUUGUGUCUUCAGAUGCUGGCGUUAAAACAUUUCCAUUCCUUGUAACACUAUUCAUGCCUCAAGGUUUUCCUUGCUCAACAGGGCUUGAUGGAGGAACUUACAGGCUGACCUAAACUUGGCCCUCUGCAAUUGCAUAUGUUUGUUGAAGUUUUUUGUGGAUCUGACUUUGUUGCUUAUCCACUGUAUGUAAAUUAUUAGUUCUAUUUAAUUGCAGAUGAGACUUAAGAAUGAGGAAGUUGGUCGACUUCCUCAUCUACAUCGGAAAAAUAAUGAAAAGUUCUAUGUUGUAACGAAGGCGCAAGUUUUUUAUAUGCUUCAUAGUGUUGUGAAUUUGUCUUGAGCUGGGGCUGAUUUGCAUCUUACUAACAUAAGAAAGACGUUAUGCUGACAAGUUCAAUGGUGUUGCAUAAAUCUGAUUACAUUACAUUAACCAAAUGGGUGAAAUAUGAGUUUAAACUUCCAUCAAGAAUAUGAUGAAUGCAAAUAAUAGACCCAGUAAUGCUUUGACGGGCAAUUUCAUGAUAAAUAUUUAUUAUGGUCUGGGAGACAUGCCCAACAACCUUCACCUCCUGGUUUUGUCUCAUAAAGAUUGUAAUACAAUUAAAUAAGUUGCAGAAACUUUCCAAUGGAGAAUAUCGAAAAUGGAAAAGGGUUUCAAUCAAUGAGCCCACGUUUUUCAGAAUCUUUAAUUCGGGAAACGACACGAGUGACAUGACACUUCAUAUGGUGGUGGUACCUUACGGGCAUGAGGUCCCUUCUUUGAAUACAGUGCAAAAAUCUCAACGGCAUCCCUUAUUGCCUUGCCUAUCUGUCAAAAACCAUCUCUAGCAAAUGCAUUAUUGAUUCUAAAAACAUCACCAGCAGCAAAGUCCCAUUCGAAAGAGAAACUCUGCCAUGGCUUCCCAAGCUAGUAGCCAGCUUCACUUCGUCUUGUUUCCUUUCCUUAUUCAGGGCCAUAUCAUUCCCAUGAUAGACAUUGCAAGGUUGUUGGCAAAGCAAGGCGCCUUUGUUACCAUUGUCACUACACCAAAGAACGCAGCCCGGUUUCAAAAUGUUAUCGAACGAGGGAUACAAUCCGGGCUACCUAUCCAGGUCAUUGAGUUUCGUUUUCCAUGUCAAGAAGUUGGAUUGCCUGAAGGUUGCGAGAAUUGGGACAUGCUUCCAUCGAUCACUUUGGUCCCCAAGUUCUUCUCUGCAGUCGAAAUGCUGCAACUGCCAUUGGAAAAUUUGUUCAGGGAGAUACAACCUAAGCCAAGCUGCUUAAUCUCUGACAUGUUGUUGCCUUGGACGGUUUCUUCUGCCAGUAAGUUCAACGUUCCAAGGAUUGUUUUCCACGGCUUUUCUGGCUUUUGUCUGUCGUGUUUACACAGCUUGAGUGUUUCCAAGGUUCAUGAGAGUGUUUCCUCUGACUCCGAAUACUUUUAAGUGCCUGGUUUGCCUGAUCAAGUUGAAAUAACUAAAGAUCAGCUACCAGAAAUCCUGAAGAAGAAAAGUUUUGGUGCGCCAGUUUUGGCAGCUGAAAUGGCAUCUUACGGGGUUAUUGUGAAUUCAUUUGAAGAGUUAGAGCCUGCUUAUGUUGAAGAAUACAAGAAAGCAAGAGGUGGAAAGGUUUGGUGUGUCGGUCCUGUUUCAUUUUUCAACAAGGAAGAUAUUGAUAAAGUUGAGAGAGGCAACAAGGCUUCAAUUGAUUGCUCUGGUUGCUUAAAAUGGCUUGAUUCUUGGGAACCGAGCUCUGUAGUCUAUGUUUGUCUUGGAAGUCUUUGUAAUUGUUCAACCAGACAACUGAUAGAGCUUGGUUUAGGCUUAGAAGCAACAAAGAAGCCGUUCAUCUGGGUUGUAAGAGCCGGAGAUAAAACAAAAGAGCUAGAGGAAUGGCUUUCGGAAGAAAAGUUUGAGGAAAGGAUUGAAGGGAGAGGACUUUUGAUCCGGGGUUGGGCUCCUCAAGUGGUGAUAUUGUCACACCCUACGGUUGGUGGGUUCUUAACACAUUGCGGCUGGAAUUCAGUGCUAGAAGCGGUUUCAAAUGGCUUGCCGAUGGUCACCUGGCCAUUUUUCGCAGAUCAGUUUUGCAAUGAGAAGUUGGUUGUGCAAGUGUUGAGGAUUGGUGUGAGCAUUGGGGCGGAACGCCCUCUACACUUAGCGGAUGAAGUGAAGAAGGAAGCUGUGGAAAAGGCUGUUAACAUGCUCAUGGAUGAAGGAGGAGAAGGAGAUGAGAGAAGAAGAAGGGCUAAAGAGUAUGGGGAGAUGGCAAAGAGAGCAAUUGAAGAAGGGGGAUCUUCUUCCCUUAACAUCAAACUGUUAAUCCAAGAUAUUAUGCAGCGAGCAAAAUAAGGUGGGCAAUGAAAAAUGUGAUGUCCAUACGCAAGAUAAGAGAGAUAAAAAAUCAAUUUAGUUUUUAAGCAAUAACAGCUAAUAUUUAUCGAAUAUUAAUGCUGUAGCUUCUCCAACUUUAGUACUAAAGACAACCUUAAUUCAUUUAGAUGCUGUGAUUUGUUUCUGAUUUUAAUUGUUAAUUCGGAUUCCACAAGUUCAAUUUCCUAGUGUUAUUAAAUAUGAUGGAUUAUGUUGAUCAUCUUUGAUAUAGUUCUCUUCUUUAAUUUUCAGAGCUUGAUAAUCACUUUUCAGAAUGCCAUCAUUGUUCACCCCUCUCAAAAUUUCAUUCUUUUGCCUGCUGCUCAAAUUUUUUUUCUAUAUUCCUUCGGAAAAUCCAUUUUAGCUGCACGAAAUAAUUUGAUUCUUGACUGUGAUAUGAAUGAACGAAAAAUACAAUGUAGAAUAUUACCAAUUUUAUGUAAAUAUAUUUUGGUUUUGAGUUGUAAUUUCUGGUUUCAAGACUUCGAUUAUUUCGUUCCAAGGGGUUUUUUUUUAGUAGUUUGUUGAUUUUAAGACCCCAAGAAUGAAUUGAAUUUUCAAGAGAAAUUUCAUUACAGAGCACGAGUUUGGUGCCAAAGUUUGUGAAUGAGUUAGUCGCCUUUCCAUUUGACACGUUUCUUACACGUGUUAAGUUUGUGGUGUUACAAAUGUCUUUAGACGCGUGAUGCCACCUGUGAUAGCCCCGUUCUCGACACAGCUCUAACGUAAACUUAAAUAAGAAGACGACCCAUUCAUCUCAAAAUUAAAAUAUCGCCUCUCGAAUAACCAAACGAUUGACGUCAAACGAAAAACAACAACCUGUCCAGCAAAGAAAAUAACACAAACACAAACACUGUUACUUAAACGGCACCGUCACCCAAAAAAAAUUUGAGCGCCAAAUUUGAAAAGCUUCAAAAACUUCCCCGCCAAAAGCGAUGACCAGAAGUUAGAUCACAUGCCCAAGAAUGAAUUCGACCAUUUUGAUCCAUUUUCUCACUAUUUCGAUCUCGCCAAACAAACAGCCAUAACGGGUAUUUUAUUAAAUAUUAUCUUUGAUGCAUCUAUUGAUCUCUGUGCUGAUGUGCCAUGUACGUCUGUUUUUGCGCAUGUAAGAUGUUUGAUGAAAUGCUUGAAUGAAUUCAGGAUCUCGAAAGGAAAAGAAAUGCACGGAAGAUUGGGAAGCCGACUGGUAAAGGAACUUGCAAGUGGUGAAAAAGGCCAGCUCACGCAUUUUGUACAACUAGCUUUUCUGAAUGUUUUCAAGUUCUCCACUUUUGUAUUAUUGUUACAUUGUGCUGUGGUUAUCAACUGUUUGAUGAGUAUUUUAGGUUUAUUUCUGCUAACCUUGAAAUUUGGUCUUUGUUAUGUGAUUUUGCAGGAUGAGCUUUUAAAUGAAGUAAUUAAAGAAUGCAGUGAAAAUUUCCUCGCGCUUCAGUCCUUGAUAAGGUAAUCAUUUGGUAUGAAUCCUUGGUGUUUCUUUUGAUACGACGAGUAAUUGCAUACCUUUUUUUUUUUUUUUUACUUACUUCGUAGAUUUAUGCUUGUGUUAGGAAAAUGCAGGAAGAAGGAUUGGAUUUUCAAACAACAAGAAAUGCAGAUCACUAUGGAGCACUUAUCAACCACCUUUCUCUAAUUCGCAACAAACGCUGCCUGAUGGCAUACGUGUAAGUAUUCUCUAAUGCUAUGUUAUUUCUGUAAGCAACAUUCUUAUAAUUAGCUUUUAUGUUUAAUUUGAGGUUUUUCAUUGUGGCAGUAACUCUAGUUCGUGGUUUAUGGUCAUGUAGGUACAACCGAGCAGAAAUGAUACAGAAUUUGGCAUGGACAGUUGGGCUUAGGCUCUUUGAGCUGCCCGAAGAAAUUCAAGAAAAACUCAGUCACUUGGAAAAAGAUUAUUUUAAGAGACAUUCUGCAGCAUUGGAAUCAUACAUGUCGAAAGUGGAUCUUAACUUGAAUGUGGUAACUCCUUUCUUUCUUGCUCAUAUGAAUUAAGCUCAUACGAAUUAAACUUUCUGAUUAUAAGAGUGCACAAUUGGUGAACUUGGUAUGUAAUUGAUGACUAGUGGAUGCCACAAAGCCUGAGUGCUGGUUUACUAAUGACAAAAGUACAUCUAUCAGAUGAAGAAAGUGAGGGGUUUGGCAACAACAUUUUGCUUUCAGUAUCAAUUGAUAAUGUCACUUGUUGUAAGAAAAGGUUAUGAAACGAAAUGCAUGCAAAGUAAAAAGAAGCAAAUCUGGUCAUUGAAGGAGCAGUAUGUUAUUUAGCCAUUCUGUAAGAUAAUUGUGAAUAGCAAUGUAAAUGUUCUCGAAAUUGAAAUUUGCUGAUUUUAAGGUGGAUUGAGUAUUGCAAUAUCCAAUUUCUGAAAAUAGCUUGAUCAAAAUUGUGCUUAAAACCAGAUUUUUAAAGCUAAUGUUCUUGUUUCUGCAAAGGAUAUGGUGCCACCAAAAGACCCCUAUAUCAAGGUGAGGGUCCUUGAUGAUCUCGGUGAAGGAAUAGUUGUGAGUGACAAGGCAGCCAAUUUUGCCCGCCACUCGAUGCACUUUCUCAAACGAACUGAUGCGGAGCCAUACAUCUCAAGAGUGAGUGCCUCUCUAACUUGUUUCUAAAAUUGUGUCUUCAGAUGCUGGCGUUAAAACAUUUCCAUUCCUUGUAACACUAUUCAUGCCUCAAGGUUUUCCUUGCUCAACAGGGCUUGAUGGAGGAACUUACAGGCUGACCUAAACUUGGCCCUCUGCAAUUGCAUAUGUUUGUUGAAGUUUUUUGUGGAUCUGACUUUGUUGCUUAUCCACUGUAUGUAAAUUAUUAGUUCUAUUUAAUUGCAGAUGAGACUUAAGAAUGAGGAAGUUGGUCGACUUCC
RNAcentral lists this long non-coding RNA (5219 nucleotides) under Citrus sinensis (sweet orange). RNAcentral's name for it is "long non-coding RNA (CSIN_LNC000239)". The record is from RNAcentral. Lineage: Eukaryota; Viridiplantae; Streptophyta; Magnoliopsida; Sapindales; Rutaceae.